Oncorhynchus kisutch (coho salmon) is the source of this 8507-nucleotide RNA transcript. It is a transcript of the gene named kinesin light chain 1, with no coding region annotated. The record is from RefSeq and is a predicted model, not a curated record. The transcript is spliced from 16 exons. NCBI's taxonomy places the organism in Eukaryota, Metazoa, Chordata, Actinopteri, Salmoniformes, Salmonidae.
CUGUCAGUUUAUCACUUUCACGAGGUUGGAGUAAUAUAAUGUUUAACUACGUAAUACAUUGGCUCGAAUUUAGGUUGUGCCUUUUAUAUUUUUAGAAGAUUAACAACUAAGGAAGAUUUUUUUUCUCACUUCUCUUAUUGACUUAUCGAACCCCGGCCUGGGCUGUUUGGUCUGUUUCGCAAGCGUUCCCAAAGUCUCGCGAUGUUGCGCCUCUGAGUUUAGAAACUAUGGUAACGCCAUUUUCGCCCAGCAGUUCAGUAGCCAACAAAUGUGUUUCUAGAGAUAUAAGACCUAGUUAAAUGAAACGUAUAUUUAACAUGAAAGAUCAUGUAAUAAUUUUUUGGUUCAGAUAUCACUUCCCGUACAUGUAGCUAGCUAGUCACCGAUGAUGCAGCGAUAAGCAAUAAAGCCGUGACAGCUACCUGUGGUCAGUCAGGAAGAACAGCGCAAGAGACAAGACAGUGAGCUUCGUUUCUGUUCUCGCAAAGUCGAUCUAACAAAAAAAUUAACUUGUUCAUUCAGAAUAUAUACAACAUUAAAGUGUUUUCAAUCGGAAACUGCAUUGAAGUCGGACUAACUCCUCACUGUACUGUGUUGGGCAACGGAUGUCCAACAGAACGGAUGCGUGAGAACAUGUCUGCCAUGGUGUGUGUGAAGGAGGAGGAGGAGGACCCUGGGGAGAAGCUGUCCCAAGAUGAGAUCAUCUCCAGGACCAAGCAGGUGAUCCAGGGCCUGGAGGCUCUAAAGCAGGAACACAACUCCAUCCUGGAGGGCCUUCUGGACACGCUGCACUGCUUGAAGCAGGAUGACCAGGGAGUCCUGGUGGAGGAGAAGUCCCUCAUGAUCCGCAAGUCCCUGGAGAUGCUGGAGCUGGGCCUGAGCGAGGCACAGGUGAUGAUGGCGCUGUCGGGCCACCUGAGCUCGGUGGAGUCGGAGAAGCAGAAGCUGCGGGCACAGGUGCGCCGGCUGUGCCAGGAGAACCAGUGGCUGAGGGACGAGCUGGCAGGCACCCAGCAGAAGCUGCAGAAGAGCGAGCAGAGUGUGGCUCAGCUGGAGGAGGAGAAGAAACACCUGGAGUUCAUGAACCAGCUGAAGAAGUACGAUAAGGACCUGCUGCCAUCGGAGGAGAAGGACUCUGACUCCAGUAAAGAGAAUCUGGAUGAUCUGUUCCCAGACGACCAGGAUGACCAACCUCCAGGCAUCCAGCAUCCCCACGGUAGUGCAGCAGCAGCUGCCGCCCAGCAGGGUGGCUAUGAGAUCCCGGCUCGCCUCAGGACCCUUCACAACCUGGUGAUCCAGUACGCCUCCCAGGGCCGUUACGAGGUGGCCGUGCCCCUCUGCAAACAGGCCCUGGAGGACCUGGAAAAAACCUCCGGACACGACCACCCUGACGUGGCCACCAUGCUCAACAUCCUGGCCCUGGUCUACAGGGACCAGAACAAAUACAAAGAGGCAGCCAACCUGCUGAAUGACGCUCUGGCGAUCAGGGAGAAAACUCUGGGCAGGGACCAUCCAGCGGCUUGUGUCUCUGACUCUCCCUGGACCUCCAGUUCCCUCAGUGCAGACUCAGAGCAGCAGAGGUGGCUGCUACACUCAACAACUUGGCCGUGCUCUACGGGAAACGGGGGAAGUACAAAGAGGCGGAGCCACUUUGCAAGCGGGCUCUGGAGAUCCGGGAGAAGGUUCUGGGUAAGGACCACCCAGAUGUGGCCAAGCAGCUGAACAACCUAGCCCUGCUAUGUCAGAACCAGGGCAAGUACGAGGAGGUGGAGUACUACUACCAGCGGGCCCUGGAGAUCUACCAGACCAAACUGGGCCCUGACGACCCCAACGUGGCCAAGACCAAGAACAACCUGGCGUCCUGUUACCUGAAGCAGGGGAAGUUCAAGCAGGCUGAAACUCUGUACAAAGAGAUCCUUACCCGUGCACAUGAGAGGGAGUUUGGCUCUGUAGACGAUGAGAACAAACCCAUUUGGAUGCAUGCGGAGGAGAGAGAGGAACAGAGCAAGGGAAAGCAGCAGGACGGCUCCCCGUUCGGAGAGUAUGGAGGCUGGUACAAAGCCUGUAAAGUAGACAGCCCCACAGUGACCACCACCCUGAAGAACCUGGGCGCCCUCUACAAGCGGCAGGGUAAAUUUGAGGCGGCAGAGACCCUAGAAGAGGCCGCUAUGCGUUCCAGAAAACAGGGUCUGGACACGGUGCACAAACAGCGUGUGGCGGAUGUUCUGAGUGAGCCAGAGGCGCGGGAGAAGCAGUGGAGCCGUGAGAGCCUGACCUCCGACGCCACGGUCAAGUAUGAGAGUGGCCCGGACGGGGGCGAGGAAGUGAGUAUGAGCGUGGAGUGGAACGGGGUAAGUACAGUACACAGCCCAGGCCACACACAGGGAGUAGGAAGGGGUACAAACACACCCCUUAGAUCCUCCUAGAGAAAAGCCCAAUUGGGAUGGAAAAUAUUUGUUAUGAUUGGCUUUGUGAUUAAUAUCUCAUCUGAUUUCUCAAUUUGCUUUGAAAACGUCUCUAGAAAUUAUCAAUGUUAAGAUUAUACAUUACAAUUGAUGAUUUAUUUAAUCUACUAAUGAGCAGUGAACAGUGGCUUCUGUCAAUGAGGAUAUUACUGAACAUUUAAAGUUAUUUCUUACCUACUCUUAAAGUGCAUAUCCUCUACAACUUGUCAAUUAUUUGAUGAGGACUGAGUUGCCAGUGUCCUAGAUUCUAUAUGACUCCAUAUUAUUUGUGUGAUAGCUAAGGUUAUAAUGCUGAUUGACUGUCUGGCCAGUUUGUAGUUAUAAUCACCACCUCUGUUCUACACUAAUGCUUCUAGUCUACACUCAUGCUUAUAGUCCUCAACUGAGUGAACACUCCAGCUGCUUACAUAAAAUUACUUAUCAGACCUUUGUGCCAGCAAGUUACUGUGUCUAGUAUAGAAGCCAUAUGUUUUGUAUGGUUCUAUUUUGUUUUCAGCAAACAGUAUAUUGCACACAACAAACUCGUCCUUUCCAUGCAUUAGUCUGACAACUGUAUGCUAUUCUCACUGGUUCUAUCCGAUUACUGCAGUAAAGUCCUCUUGGUCACAGCAUAUGUUUGCAAAUCACACCACACUCUCUGCUGUAGUCUGCUAUUCAGAACUGCCCUGCUCCCAUAGCAACAGUAGCCGUAGUGCCCAAGACAACCAAUCAGCAUCUCCUCCUUGGAGUCCCCUGCCUGCCUGGUCUGCCCUCAGCUCAAGGCUCCGGGGAGACUGGGCUCAGGCACAUUCGUAACCUGUGUUCUCUACUGUACUGCUCACCUAUCGGACUGUCUCAGUCAGACACUAACCUGUGUGUUAAACAACACCUCUGUCGCCAUGGUGACUCAUUCAUGUUCUCAUCACUACUGAUGCAUGUGGGCUCUGUACUGUACAUCUUCAAUGUCCCUCUGACACUUUCAUCAUGUGUGUUUGUGUUUACUGUACUGUCUGUACUGUAUGUGCCUCUCCUGCCCAUUGUGUGUGGGGCGUGUAGUGCUGAAACCUCUGUCAGACACACAUAGUACAUACUGGUAAGGAUGGAUGGACAGACUUAAACAUGUAUGAUGAUUGUGAUACAGUACCCCUGCUGUCUUUUUCUGCAUCCAGUGGCAGGUUAUUACCAGCCAGAGUGGUGGGACAGCAUUCAACCUGUACAAUCUGUCCCAUUAUUCUAGCUGAUUCUGAGUGUGUAUUUACUGUCUGCAUCCCUUUGUCUGUGCAUGUAGUGCUGUGGUGGGCUAACUUGUUGUUUCCUCUCUGAGUAAAACCUGUACUACUGUGUGUGUAAGUAUGAUUUAAGUGUGCUAGAAGACAGACUGUUCCCCAGACACAGUAUCUCUCCAAGAAUACCCCCUUCACUUCUGCUUUGUUUGGGUGGGUUCUGUCACCCACUUUAGUCCUAUUUUCCUUUGUUUGUCGUCUUUUUUGGGUUUUCCGGAGCUUUGAUUUGAUUUGCCCAUGGAUGAGCCUCAGGUCCUCUGAACUUGGCAGUGGAAAAUGGCUGAUGGCUUUGUACAGGGAAUUGACUCAUGUUUAUUACAGAAACCUAACUGGGUUAAAACACACAGGCAGUCGUUUUAGUUUAUUUUGGGGUUAUAGUCACAUUGUUGGUUGUUUUGUGGAUUAACUUCACAGUUUUUUUAGAUCGGCUGAAAUGAGCCUGUUCUAUUCAUACACUUUCCAACUUACACAACUACUGAAUUUACCAUCAUGACCAGGACACUGGUUAGCUCAUACUGGCUAGGACCUCAGUGUAUUGAGAAAUACUUUAACUGACCAUUUAGGCUCUGAGGUCAUAUGAGCAAUUCCAAAUCCAUGCUGCCUUUGCAUCAGUUGGAUGCACUUGAUAAGGGAUUCAAGUGCCAUAAGGACUGAUUUAAUUCACUCCUCAAUUAGUUUUUAGGCUACUGUUUUUACUUUACCCUUGGUCCCUGGAUUUGUGUGGUUGCUUAUAGUUUCCUUUGCCCUAUAAAUCUCUUUAGCUGUUGCUAAUUUUGAGCCCUGAUGCCUUCUGCAGUUGUAAAGCACCGCCACAGCCCUACCUGGAGAAAUACUGUCUCUGUAGGGGAAACACUGGCUGACCUCUGCUGUCUGUCUGACUUGCUCUGCUUUCCUUCUCUUCCUCAUUUUCUCACUUUACUCUACCUCAUCUUCAUCUCUGUUUUUCAAUACCCUCUUCUGCCUCUCUUGGUAUUCCUUUUAAUUUGUCUCCCUCUCUCUUUCUUUUUUCCUCCCUCUCUUCACCCUGUCUGACCAGCAGGCAUAAUCCCAGAUGCCUUGUUGUGGUUCUAAGUACUUGUCUUCUGCAUGACGGACACCAGCUCGCCUGCCACCCCUCCAGCUUUGCAGUUGUGUCUUCUCUUCAGGCUCUUCUCUCCUCCUCUGGGCUGUCUGUCUGGUGACUCUACUGGGCCAAGCUGUCCCUAGUUCUAUCCUCCUAUCCACUGUCAAUGGGACCAGGGGGGCUGGGCUCUAUGUCUCAGAACCAAACCAAGCCACUCCUGCCUCCUGCCAUUACCUUACCUUGCUCUUUUCUGUACUUAAAUACUCUGUCUCCUCACUCUAUCUGUUCUAUCUCUCAGUAGGGUGUGUGUGGUGUUGCGUUUCCAGCAUUUACUAGAAGUAAUGAUGCAUACCGGUCUGCUUUUGCUCGUAGUGAUUUAACUAACAUACUGUGAAUUCUAUGAGUUGGUGGCAUGAUCAUCAUCCUGUAUGCUCCCUCAGAGUACCGUGGUGGCUCUAGGCUGCUGUCGAGUUUCUUUAGUAGUGUUUGAUCCUAUGCUCCAUAUGGUCCUAUUGAUGUCAAACUUAACGGUGUUGUCAUGUCCUGAUCAGGAGGGAGUGUCAGAAGACAAUGCAGCUCCUGUGUAUACAGAGCCAGAUGGUGGGAGGAGAUGGGGAGUGUAGAGGGGGGUAUAGGACAGAGGAGUGGGAGAUGCCUCACUCUGCAGAGUGGAAUUUGGACACUUCUCUUCAUGGCUCCUACUAAUCUACUCUGUCCUGUCUGUGCUUCUUAUAGUAUGUAUCUCUUAACUUCUAAUAAAACGUAAGUCUUUGCUCACCCACAUCUUUGCCUGUAGCCUCUUUGUGUGCUCUCUCUCUUUCUGUGUGUGUGUGUGUGUGUGCGUAAAACGGGGUGUGUGUGUGUCUAAAUCUUGAUGGUAGAGGUCAACUCCGGGACCAUGGUAAAGUGACCCGUCCUUUUCCUUCUCUUCUCCAUGGUGGUGUCCUAGUGGACAGUUCAAAGGUUAGGGGUCAGAGCUGUGUGAAUAACCACAGAGGAUGAAAAGCUGUUACUCCAAGAUCUGAUUAAACAUAGCAGGAUGGAUAUUGCUACCUUGAAUGAAUAAAGCAUGAAAACCUUUAGAAGGAAUUUACAUUGCUCUGCUCUGUUGACCCAAGAGAACUAUUGUGAGCAUAACUUUAUACAAUGUUUUUGGAGGGCUUCUCUAAUUUCUUUAUAGCAUCAUUUCUGAAUAGCGCACGGAUGAGGCCGACAUGUUUUGUCUCAACAGAGAGUCUAAUCGGAUGCACAUGCAAAAACAAGCACUUGCACAGUCCAUCACAUAUGCAGACAAUAGAAGUUGCUGAGCCAAUUCUCUGUAUUUUGAUUGUGUGCGUGCGUGCAUAUCUGUACUGAGUGUGGGGGUGUGUGCAACUCUGCAUGCAUGUUUGUCUCUACCUGUGUGUAUGCAAGAUGUGAGUGUGAAAGUAACCCUCUGACCUCUCUCAUCAGGACGGUUCCGGCUCUCUGAAGCGGAGCGGCUCCUUCAGUAAACUCCGUGCCUCUAUUCGCCGCAGCAGUGAGAAACUGGUCCGCAAGCUGAAGGGCGGCAGCACACGGGAGUGGGACCCCAAAAACUCUGGCAUGAAGCGAGCCAGCUCACUGGGUGUUCUAAACGUGGUGGACAAGGCUGCCGGAGACCUCUACCAAGAGCGAAAUAAUCAUCUGAGAAAGAGCCGUGACCUGAGUUCCAGCCACACUGACCUGGCGCAUUGAAGGUCGGAACUCAGAAUGUUCCAGUGGAGAAGUGACAGAGGUCAUGGGGUCAGUCUCCUAAACAACCCCCUCCCUAUUGUAGGUAUACAGCUGGCUGCAGUACAUAGGUUUCACAAUCUCAUUGCACUUUGAUCUCAUCACUGGUUUGCUUAGGUGUUUUCAUUGAAAUGUUUUCUCUUUUUUCUAUCAAUAUAUGUCGAACAACAUGAGAUUAGUUAUAAUGAAUGACAAAUGUAUAACGCUAAGUCAAGUGUAAAUGCGUGUGUGUGGAUGUAAGUAUGCACCUAUAUUUUAUAGUUAAGUGCUCAAAUGAGAGAAUGUUCAUUUUUGUAUUUUCUGUGUGUGUGAUUGCUUUGUCCUACCUUACCUCCACACAUCUAAAUCGAAUCUUAAAUCAUUUGGUUAUCACUUGAAUGGAAUAUGUGAGCAGUUCAGGAGGUCCCAAUAGGGUACUUAACUCUGCUGUCUUACCCCCUUUCAUCCAAAUUGAUGUCCUGUGUGUUCUUAUUGAAGUGCUAGAUGUGCUUGUUGUUUUAUGUUUUACAUUUGGGUUGUGUAAAUUAUGGUUUAUUUUAUUUCCUAUGCUGAUCUGGGGAAUCUUAUUUCUUUGUAUCAGAGGUCUUGAAAUGGAUAGCUCUGCUUCUAGUUUCAUGAUGUUACUGCAAUUUCAAGAGACUGCUCAAAAUGUAUGUGAAGUUAUGAGUCAGGAUCAUUCUGUUGGCACAUUAAGUAUAUCUGGUGGAUUUCUCAGGAUUGUCACAGAACAGAAGAUGGCUAGCGAAGCUAGUUUUGAUAUACACUGACUGCACUAGAUAUUUAACACAAGAACCUGUUACAAUCAAAUGCAUUUUCCAGUAAUGGCAUAAAAAUAUUGUUACAAUCUGGAGUAAAGACAUUGUUUACUAAUUUGUACCAAUCUGUUUCUGUAUGUUGAAUGAUUAAUCAAGAGUAAGACUAUGUAUAAAGAGUGAAAUUAAGCUGAAGUACUUGGACUUCAUUAGAUUAAAUAUCCAACCAAAAAAUUCAACAAAUGUUUUUAUUGAUCCAUUAUAGGACUUGCUCUCACUCCCACAUUUACAUUGUUUUACUUUCUCAAAACUUUCAAGUUAACGUUUGCUCCUUUCCAAAGCGUGCCUUUUUUAGGUCCACAGACAUGAUCCUACUGACAUGGGUUUGGAUUGCUUGUUGGGUGGACUGUUAAUGUGGUCUGUUGAUGGGGAUGUGUGAUAGCGUUCUCUUAUGUAAGGAAGGUGACUGUUCCAUUUGACUUCAGACAUCAUAGGCCCAGGAACUUCCCCAGUCCCUCACCAGGAUGACUUAAAGAGGGGUGAAACAUUACUAAUUAGGGUUAAAUUGACCAGACCGGUUACACUAUCCAAGGAACAGGACCUAUUUUUAUGAUAAACAAGCAAGUUGUCAUGAGCAGAGGGAACCAUGGAGUACUGAGUAAUUUGCAAGUAAUCCUAUGAGCAUGGCUGCGUUUACACAGGCAGCCCAAUUCUGACCUAUUUUCCAUUUUUUUCCAUUCUAUUUUUGGUAGUUUGGCCAAUCACAUCAGAUCUUUUUCAGGGCUGAUCCGAUUGGUCAAAAGACCAGUAAAUAAAACAAAUAUCAGAAUUAGGCUGGCAGUGUGAACGCAGCUUCUGAGUCACUUGAGGUGGUGCACAGAAUCAUGGAGAAGGACAACACGCCCUGAACUAAUGAAACACUGCUGGGAAAUGUUAAUGAUGACAUCACCCUAUUAUUUGUGACACAGUCAAUGCACCAGACUGUCCAAGUUAACUUUUUUUUGUUUGCGGUUGGGCUUGAGUAUGUUUGGAGAUGUCCUGGGCUAGACUGGCAAUAGGAACACAAUUGGUACCUAUCCAAACUUCCAGCCCCUUUCCCUUAGGAUGACUGCUGUGCUGGCUGGAUCCCUUUAGCCUGAACUGUGGUGAAGUGUUUGUCCUGAGAAAAUAUAUUAUAUGGUAUAAAUUGUUUGAAUAAAACUAUACAAAUGUU